UUAUCUUGAUAAUGAAUUAUGUUGAAUAAUUCCAUGAUUAUGUGGAUAUGGCUCUGCUAUUCAGAAUUAGACAAACUAUUUCAACAGAGGAAGCACUUUGAGAUUCAACUCAAGUCUUAAACACUCAAAUAACUCUUGUUUAUUUCAUAUGGGCAAAGACCCUAUAUAUAGGCUCGAAAGAGCCGGUUACAAUUAUUGUUGGAAUCGUAUGAUUGAAAUACGACAAACAUAUAUUUACAUUUUUGACCCCUAGACUAUAGAGGGUCUUAUAUUUUAUGGUACAUCCUACCGACACUACAUUAUUUCAGACAAUAAUUAUACAACGACAAAUAACAAAUAAUUACAAUCUCUUCCACACUGAAAGGACAAGUGUCAUUAUUAGUCUAGGGGUCUAAAAUGUAAAUACAUGUUUGUCGUAUUGCAAUAAUAUGAUUGCAACAAUAAUUGUAACCUGCUCCUUCAAGCCUAUAUAUAGGGCCUUUGCCCAUAAGAAAUAAAGAAGAGUUAUUUGAGUGUUUAAGACUUGAGUUGAAUCUCAAAAUUCUUCUUCUGUUGAAAUAGUUUGUCUAUUUCUGAAUAGCAGAGCCCUAUCCAAACUAUCCACAUAAUCAUCCAAUUAUUCAACAUAAUUCAUCAUCAAUAUAAUCCAACGCAUCAUUCAGAUUAUUGUCGUGGACGUUUAAUCCGUUGACAAUUACAAUUACAUCAGUUUCAUCCAUACCUCAAGUAUAUCAAAAGCACCAACAAUCAUAUAGCAGACACAUUAACCAGAGAAUACAAGCCAUCAUGAAACAACUCAGAUAAGGAAAAAACACUAUUCAUGGAAGACUAACGUCAGGCAUGACCGAAGCACACAUCAUUCAGAAAAAUUUGUCCUUUCGGUGGCGGGAGGAAUGACGCAAGCAAUGAUGUAAAAAAUCAUUAUUGAAGACACUUGUCCUUUUAGUGUAGAAGGGAUUGUAAUUAUUUGUUAUUUGUCGUUAUAUAAUUAUUGUCUGUAUACGCAAUAAUGUAGUGUCGGUAGGAUGUAACAUAAAGUGUAAGACCCUCCAUAGUCUAGGGGUCUAAAAUGUAAAUAUAUGUUUGUCGUAUUGCAAUCAUACGAUUGCAACCAUAAUUGUAACCGACUCUUUCGAGCC
Lactuca sativa (garden lettuce) is the source of this 1139-nucleotide long non-coding RNA. RefSeq lists it as uncharacterized. The record is from RefSeq and is a predicted model, not a curated record. Lineage: Eukaryota; Viridiplantae; Streptophyta; Magnoliopsida; Asterales; Asteraceae.